Molecule: ribosomal RNA, 424 nt
Filed under: uncultured bacterium
Lineage: Bacteria
Description: partial 16S ribosomal RNA
Rfam family: Bacterial small subunit ribosomal RNA
Source: RNAcentral
AAUAUGCGACAAUGGGGGCAACCCUGAUCCAGCCAUGCCGCGUGUGUGAAGAAGGUACUCGGAUUGUAAAGCACUUUAAGUUGGGAGGAAGGGCUUUAGGCUAAUACCCUGAAGUUUUGACGUUACCAACAGAAUAAGCACCGGCUAACUACGUGCCAGCAGCCGCGGUAAUACGUAGGGUGCAAGCGUUAAUCGGAAUUACUGGGCGUAAAGCGUGUGUAGGCGGUUCGUUAAGUUGGAAGUGAAAGCCCCGGGCUUAACCUGGGAAUUGCUUUCAAAACUGACGAGCUAGAGUACGGUAGAGGGUAGUGGAAUUUCCUGUGUAGCGGUGAAAUGCGUAGAUAUAGGAAGGAACAUCAGUGGCGAAGGCGACUACCUGGACUGAUACUGACACUGAGGUGCGAAAGCGUGGGGAGCAAACAGG